Molecule: unclassified non-coding RNA, 1434 nt
Filed under: Penaeus japonicus
Lineage: Eukaryota; Metazoa; Arthropoda; Malacostraca; Decapoda; Penaeidae
Description: ubiquitin-conjugating enzyme E2 2-like, transcript variant X1
Source: RNAcentral
AUAGGAAAUGCAUAAACAGUAGUGUGUACGCCGGUAAGUGCGGCGCCACACGUCUCCGUUGUUUUAACAAACUUUUUGAAAAUUAUAAAUAACCCAAAAUACUAUGGAAAAAUACUAAAAUUGUCACGCCCAGAUGAACACAUGUGUCGGCUAUGAGGUCACCGGCACCUGUAAUAUGGCGUGGACAUCCUAGUUAUUGAAUCGUGCUGAAGAGAGAAUGAAAAAUUACUAGAAGUGACUUGUAUCUUACAAAGAGAGAAAGAGAGAAAGACGAACGAACAUUCGCACUGUUAACAAGCAAGCGGCGAGACUGUUGGGAUCGGUGUUCAAGCCAGAGUGACUCGUGUUGCAAGAGGAAGCACUUGGAUGGCUAUUGCAUUUGAAGCUAAACUCAAGCUGCAAUAUUUGGCCUUUUAAUUUCCACCGAGAGCGAAGGUCUAUCCACCUUGAAGUAAAGGAAUGAUCCUACGCUCACCCCCGCAGUAAAUGUUUCAGUGGCAAUAAGGACUCCCAGGAUCCCGCGCUCAAGGCCUGGAACCGCCAACGCACUGGUGUGCCAAUGACUAUGAGCCGCAUCCGCAUUAGUGCCAAUGGCGUCCCGACGUCAAUGCUUCGCCGGGUCGUGGUGGUAAUCCUGGUAAGCAUUAUGUUCGUCAUGGCCUUCUACGGCUACGCCUUCUUGAGUGACAAGUUCCAUCCCCACUUCCUCGGGCGGCACCACCCGCGCCACCGGCUGCACCACGGGGCGGCCAUCGCAGGGAACAGCAACGUCGUCCUCGACCCGGAAAAGUCCCACAUGGGCAACAUCUACAUCGACAAUUUCCGUCACGAGGAUUAUGAGGACUAUGAAGAUUAUGAAGAUGAAUCUGAAGAGGAAGAUGAUGAUGAAGAUGAUGAUCAUGACGAUGAGGAUCAUGACGAGGAUGAUGAUGACGACGAUGACGAUGAUGAUGACGAUGAUGAUGAUGAUGACUAUUACGGUGAGGAUUAUGACAGACAUGCGUUAAGAUAGUGGGCCAUCCGCAUACAAAAUGAGAAUCGAUUAUAAUGUGUCCGAGAUGUUCAGUUAUAUUGGCGAAACCAAAGUAAACAAGGAGUAAGGCACUAAGCUUCUUUACCACAACGCUUAAAAAAAAACUACCAGUGGAAUCUACAAACACGAUGCUUCACCCGAAUGACAUAGGGAUUAUCACGGACCAACAUAUGCCUGAGAACAAUGUUGUUUUAUUUAUGUUUAUGUGUGUGUGUUUGCGUGUGUAUGCGUGUGUAUGCCAGCGCGCGCGUGUGUUUGUGAGACCACUCCUGUCAAACAACUUCUGUACACUAAUGCUGUGUGUUUUAUAAGAGUUAUAAUCCUAUUACGUUUGUCAGUACAUUGAAAUGAAUUGUGUGGAGAUUUGAAGGAUGAAAUGUUGAUGAAUAAAGAAUAAGAAG